This 116-nucleotide ribosomal RNA is filed under the name Danio rerio (zebrafish). The record is from RNAcentral. Lineage: Eukaryota; Metazoa; Chordata; Actinopteri; Cypriniformes; Danionidae.
UCUAUCGAUUCACCUGUUCUUAACACAAUACAAUACAACACAAUAGAUCUAUGCAGGGCUGUGCCCGGUCAGUAUCUGGAUGGGAAACCACAUGGGAAACUAGGUUGUUGCUGGAA